Molecule: ribosomal RNA, 394 nt
Filed under: uncultured bacterium
Lineage: Bacteria
Description: partial 16S ribosomal RNA
Rfam family: Bacterial small subunit ribosomal RNA
Source: RNAcentral
AUACGUAGGGGACGAGCGUUGUCCGGAAUUACUGGGCGUAAAGGGCGCGCAGGCGGAUAUUUAAGUCAGCUGUAAAAGGCAUGAGCUCAACUCAUGUAUGCGGUUGAAACUGGGUAUCUAGAGUGCUGGAGAGGUAGGCGGAAUUCCCGGUGUAGCGGUGAAAUGCGUAGAUAUCGGGAAGAACACCAGUGGCGAAGGCGGCUUACUGACCAGCAAUUGACGCUGAGGCGCGAAAGCCAGGGGAGCAAACUGGAUUAGAUACCCCGGUAGUCCUUGCCGUAAACGAUGAAUGCUAGGUGUGGGUGUCGAGAGGCAUCCGUGCCGGAGAUAACGCGAUAAGCAUUCCGCCUGGGGAGUACGAUCGCAAGAUUGAAACUCAAAUGAAUUGACGGGG